GACGAACGCUGGCGGCGUGCCUAAUACAUGCAAGUAGAACGCUGAAGGAGGAGCUUGCUUCUCUGGAUGAGUUGCGAACGGGUGAGUAACGCGUAGGUAACCUGCCUGGUAGCGGGGGAUAACUAUUGGAAACGAUAGCUAAUACCGCAUAAGAGUAGAUGUUGCAUGACAUUUGCUUAAAAGGUGCAAUUGCAUCACUACCAGAUGGACCUGCGUUGUAUUAGCUAGUUGGUGGGGUAACGGCUCACCAAGGCGACGAUACAUAGCCGACCUGAGAGGGUGAUCGGCCACACUGGGACUGAGACACGGCCCAGACUCCUACGGGAGGCAGCAGUAGGGAAUCUUCGGCAAUGGACGGAAGUCUGACCGAGCAACGCCGCGUGAGUGAAGAAGGUUUUCGGAUCGUAAAGCUCUGUUGUAAGAGAAGAGCGAGUGUGAGAGUGGAAAGUUCACACUGUGACGGUAUCUUACCAGAAAGGGACGGCUAACUACGUGCCAGCAGCCGCGGUAAUACGUAGGUCCCGAGCGUUGUCCGGAUUUAUUGGGCGUAAAGCGAGCGCAGGCGGUUAGAUAAGUCUGAAGUUAAAGGCUGUGGCUUAACCAUAGUACGCUUUGGAAACUGUUUAACUUGAGUGCAAGAGGGGAGAGUGGAAUUCCAUGUGUAGCGGUGAAUGCGUAGAUAUAUGGGAGGAACACCGGUGGCGAAAGCGGCUCUCUGGCUUUGUAACUGACGCUGAGGCUCGAAAGCGUGGUGGAG
This 757-nucleotide ribosomal RNA is filed under the name uncultured Streptococcus sp. RNAcentral's name for it is "bacterial SSU rRNA". It matches the Rfam family "Bacterial small subunit ribosomal RNA", at positions 28 to 768 of the family's 1533-position model. Lineage: Bacteria; Bacillati; Bacillota; Bacilli; Lactobacillales; Streptococcaceae. The record is from RNAcentral.